UUUGAAGAUUUGUUUUGCGCU
This is a non-coding RNA of Caenorhabditis elegans, 21 nucleotides long. The record is from Ensembl. NCBI's taxonomy places the organism in Eukaryota, Metazoa, Nematoda, Chromadorea, Rhabditida, Rhabditidae.